This 252-nucleotide ribosomal RNA is filed under the name uncultured bacterium. RNAcentral describes it as "partial 16S ribosomal RNA". It matches the Rfam family "Bacterial small subunit ribosomal RNA", at positions 524 to 776 of the family's 1533-position model. The record is from RNAcentral.
UACGGAGGAUGCGAGCGUUAUCCGGAUUUAUUGGGUUUAAAGGGCGCGUAGGCGGAUCGUUAAGUCAGUGGUCAAAUUGAGGGGCUCAACCCCUUCCCGCCAUUGAAACUGGCGAUCUUGAGUGGAAGAGAAGUAUGCGGAAUGCGUGGUGUAGCGGUGAAAUGCAUAGAUAUCACGCAGAACCCCGAUUGCGAAGGCAGCAUGCCGGCUUCCUACUGACGCUGAAGCACGAAAGCGUGGGGAUCGAACAGG